AUUAACCCCCGAACCGCCGCGAGCUGUCCCUAGCAGUGCCUUAGCCAGGGACCUGCUUGGCCAGCGACAGAUCCUUUGCUGCUCUGUCUGCCGGUUCUUGAGGUGAUCCUGAAGCUGUUGGUCCUGGGACCACAUUUUGAGAACCACUGCCCAAGAAAUAAGUGAUGCUCAGUAAUUAAUCCCUGAAUUAACGGAAAGUUGGAUUUUUAUCUACUUUGCAAUCUAGAAAGGGUACGAGGUCUAUUUAAGGUUUGCUUGCUAGAACAAUUCUCACUGAUCAGGGUGAGAAGGACCCGAAAUGGAGGGUGCGGGGUAAUCAGGGUAGGAAAGGAUAUUGCUGUGUUCAUGGAAAUAUCUUGGGAAAUGAGGAGUUGGGACCUCAUUUCUGUUGAGACCAAUGAGACGUGUGACUUGGUUUAAGCUGUCCGGUGGGGAAAGGAAGAGGUUUGAGAAAAUGGUGGGUGGCUAAGUGGUAGUUGAGGUGGAGGAAGAGGGCUUCCUGUCCCAGCCCAAGUCCCUGUUGGGAUAUAUGAAAUUUAGGGAUGUAUGACUAAGCCCUUAAUAUAACCGUAAGAGGAAAG
This 581-nucleotide long non-coding RNA is filed under the name Homo sapiens (human). Its description in RNAcentral is "non-protein coding lnc-ZNF24-1:3". Lineage: Eukaryota; Metazoa; Chordata; Mammalia; Primates; Hominidae. The record is from RNAcentral.